GGGGCGUUAGCUUAGUGGUAAAGCGCUUGCAUGGCAUGCAAGAGACCACCGGUUCAAAUCCGGUACGCUCCACCA
This 75-nucleotide transfer RNA is filed under the name Candidatus Berkelbacteria bacterium. RNAcentral describes it as "tRNA-Ala". It matches the Rfam family "tRNA". From Rfam's summary of the family: Transfer RNA (tRNA) molecules are approximately 80 nucleotides in length. Their secondary structure includes four short double-helical elements and three loops (D, anti-codon, and T loops). Lineage: Bacteria; Candidatus Berkelbacteria. The record is from RNAcentral.